Molecule: ribosomal RNA, 666 nt
Filed under: uncultured bacterium
Lineage: Bacteria
Description: bacterial SSU rRNA
Rfam family: Bacterial small subunit ribosomal RNA
Source: RNAcentral
AGAGUUUGAUCCUGGCUCAGAACGAACGCUGGCGGCAGGCCUAACACAUGCAAGUCGAACGCCCCGCAAGGGGAGUGGCAGACGGGUGAGUAACACGUGGGAACCUUCCCUAUAGUACGGAAUAGCCCAGGGNAAACUUGGAGUAAUACCGUAUACGCCCGAAAGGGGAAAGAAUUUCGCUAUAGGAUGGGCCCGCGUAGGAUUAGCUAGUUGGUGAGGUAAUGGCUCACCAAGGCGACGAUCCUUAGCUGGUUUGAGAGAACGACCAGCCACACUGGGACUGAGACACGGCCCAGACUCCUACGGGGGGCAGCAGUGGGGAAUAUUGGACAAUGGGCGCAAGCCUGAUCCAGCCAUGCCGCGUGAGUGAUGAAGGCCUUAGGGUUGUAAAGCUCUUUUGCCGGGGACGAUAAUGACGGUACCCGGAGAAUAAGUCCCGGCUAACUUCGUGCUAGCAGCCGCGGUAAUACGAAGGGGACUAGCGUUGUUCGGAAUCACUGGGCGUAAAGCGCACGUAGGCGGAUUCGUAAGUCAGGGGUGAAAUCCCGGGGCUCAACCUCGGAACUGCCUUUGAUACUGCGGGUCUUGAGUCCGAUAGAGGUGGGUGGAAUUCCUAGUGUAGAGGUGAAAUUCGUAGAUAUUAGGAAGAACACCGGUGGCGAAGGC